RNAcentral lists this long non-coding RNA (1423 nucleotides) under Equus caballus (horse). Its description in RNAcentral is "lncRNA (ENSECAG00000059378.1)". The record is from RNAcentral. Lineage: Eukaryota; Metazoa; Chordata; Mammalia; Perissodactyla; Equidae.
CAGCAGCAGUCCUGUCCUCGGCUGGGCAAUCGUGCCCCAUCACGGGGGCCUCAGUGGCCAAUGAGGCAACCACAGACAGUGAGGAGGACUUUAGAAUUCACUGUCUUGGAGAGUCUGGCUGUGAGAAAGAUGUCUUUUCAAGGCCCUUGGGCAGGAGCAAGGAUAGUUUCGGUCAGGCCUAGUGAGCAGACGGUACAGCAUACCAGGAACUUGCAGGCUUGUGCUGUUGGAGGUGAAUCUUGGUAAGUGGGUGAGCCAAGCUGUGGCACGCAGAUGUCAUGGCGUUCUGAAAAAAGUCAAAGGAAAGCCUCUGUUGACCCCUCUAAUUGAGGCUUAGCAACCAUCGCUCAAUAGGAUAAGACUUAGCAUGGUGCCUUAACCUCAGUGCCCUGCACUAACCUGCUGGUGGGGGGUGAGGGGCUAUGGACCAGAGUGGGGACCUGACAGGUACUGCCACUUCCCCCUCCAUCUCUCCACAUGGAGUUAAUCACAAGCCCUGGUGAUUUACUUCCUCAGUAGUUUGCGAAUCCACCAACUUCUUCCUAGGCCCUCUGCUGCCACUGUCAGCCCAGCCCUCCUUCAUCUUGGCCUCCUAACUCGUCUAUGCUUUCACUCUAGGCCAUUCACCACUUGGCAGGGUUUUGUUUUUUUGUUUUUGGGUUUUUUGGUGAGGAAGAUUGGUCCUGGGCUAACAUCUGAUGCCAGUCUUCUUUUUGCUUGAGGAAGAUUAGCCCUGAGCUAACAUCCAUGCCAGUCUUCUUGUAUUUUGUAUGUGGGACACUGCCAGAGCAUGGUUUUGAGUGGUGUGUAGGUCCAUGCCUGGGAUCUGAACCCAUGAACCCUGGGCCACUGAAAUGGAGUGUGUGAAAUUAACCACAAUGGGCCAGCCCCUGCUAGAGUCUUUUUAAAAAACCACUCUGAUUGUGCCUACCACUCUUUAGACGUCUGGUGACUUGAACUUCUCAAAUUCUGGACACAGCCCAUGUGGUCCUGCACGAUCUGGCCCCAAGCCAUUUCUCCAGCCACCUGGAAUAUCACAAACUCUUGCAGCUCAGAUCCUUUGCAUUCACUGUUCCAUCUGCCUAGAAUACUCCUCCUCUCCACGCCCUCUCUGCCUUGCCAACUCCUGGGCAUUAUCCGUCAGCUCCUUGCUCGUGUGUCGCUUCUCCAGGGAACCGCAGCAGGAUUCCCUGUAGAUUUUCACAUAGCACCUUGUACUUCAACAACAGCACCUGGCACCUUUACACUCCAGCAUGGCGGAAGCUUGCUUAUUUUGUUCAUCUCUUUGUUCUUAAAUGUGCAGCAUAAUAGUAGAUGAUGGAGAAAUGGUUGUUGGUUGAAUGUGUGGAUUGAAUGAAUGAGCUCUGGACUCAAGAGCCGAGCACUGGGCGUUGGCAUCUGAGUCUCCCCCUCACUGAGUUCC